Helianthus annuus (common sunflower) is the source of this 335-nucleotide long non-coding RNA. RefSeq lists it as uncharacterized. The transcript has 2 exons. Lineage: Eukaryota; Viridiplantae; Streptophyta; Magnoliopsida; Asterales; Asteraceae. The record is from RefSeq and is a predicted model, not a curated record.
UUGAGGAGGGUUGGGUCUCUGCGGAAGACAAAUAUGAGAUGCCUAUUCAGGGGGAUUCCAUGACCAAGUCAAUGGAUGGUGAAAUUGUUACUCGUGAGACAGGGCUAGGAGAUGAAGGUUCUCUUAGAAUUCCUCAGAAUGUGAAAAGUACAGGUUAGCAGGUGGUGGCUAUGGCCGUUCAUGGUGUUCCAGGGCAAGAAGCAGAGAGAAAGAAAGAGAGAAGGAGGCGGGGGUGGGUUUUUUAUGUUUUAUUUAUUAGUAAGGGCAUUUUGGUCAUUUCACACCCACUUAACACCUAAAGUUAACCCCGUCUAGCGUAUGGACUAUACGAGUAA